This 293-nucleotide ribosomal RNA is filed under the name uncultured bacterium. Its description in RNAcentral is "partial 16S ribosomal RNA". It matches the Rfam family "Bacterial small subunit ribosomal RNA", at positions 775 to 1067 of the family's 1533-position model. The record is from RNAcentral.
GGAUUAGAUACCCUGGUAGUCCACGCCGUAAACGAUGUCUACUAGUUGUUGGGAGACUUGAUCUCUUAGUAACGAAGCUAACGCGAUAAGUAGACCGCCUGGGGAGUACGACCGCAAGGUUGAAACUCAAAGGAAUUGACGGGGGCCCGCACAAGCGGUGGAGCAUGUGGUUUAAUUCGACGCAACGCGAAGAACCUUACCAGAUCUUGACAUCCUGCGAACUUGCUAGAGAUAGCUUGGUGCCUUCGGGAACGCAGAGACAGGUGCUGCAUGGCUGUCGUCAGCUCGUGCCG